UGCUUAUUAAAUACAAAUAAAUCUAUAACUAAGUUAUACAUGAUCCAAUGAGUAUGAAAUAUUUACUAUAGUUUCAGCAUAGAAUAAUUAGUCCACCAUAAAAAUUUCACUACAAUUGGACCACAGAAGCUGCAGCUAUGAAUUAUUUCAAUUAAUUACAGAUAAAAUUUGAUUUUUCUAACUAAUUUAAAGCUACAGAAAAUAUUUGUACUAAAGUAUACCAUAUUAUAUAUUCAUUGCGUAGAUCUACUCAUGUGGAGUCCAACAAAAUUGGAUUUUCUAUUUUAUAAUUUUUCUGUGAUUUACUAUGAUUUUUCAAAGAUUAUAUAAAAACAAUAGAAAAAAAGAAAAAAAGUCAAAACCACGGUUACCGUAGCUGAACCAUUGUUACUGUAGCAAAACCGCCAUAAAAACCACCCAGAGGUGAUUUGAACGGUUUUGAAUAGUUUAGGGGGGGUAAAUUAGACUGUUUCAUAGUUCGGGAGGUAAAGUAGACACCACCCCAUAGUUCGGUGGUGAUGUAGAAUUUUUCUUUUUUAUUUUCAUCUAUAUUUAAUGCUUCAUACAUGUGUCACAAGAUUCGAUGUAACGG
This 592-nucleotide long non-coding RNA is filed under the name Sorghum bicolor (sorghum). RNAcentral describes it as "long non-coding RNA (SBIC_LNC016055)". The record is from RNAcentral. Lineage: Eukaryota; Viridiplantae; Streptophyta; Magnoliopsida; Poales; Poaceae.